GGUAGCUCAGCCGGAUAGAGCAAUGGCCUUCUAAGCCAUCGGUCGGGGGUUCGAAUCCCUCCC
Molecule: transfer RNA, 63 nt
Filed under: Candidatus Salinicoccus stercoripullorum
Lineage: Bacteria; Bacillati; Bacillota; Bacilli; Caryophanales; Staphylococcaceae
Rfam family: tRNA
About the family: Transfer RNA (tRNA) molecules are approximately 80 nucleotides in length.
Source: RNAcentral